Molecule: unclassified non-coding RNA, 267 nt
Filed under: Hevea brasiliensis (rubber tree)
Lineage: Eukaryota; Viridiplantae; Streptophyta; Magnoliopsida; Malpighiales; Euphorbiaceae
Source: RNAcentral
AGUAGUUCUAUCCCAUCCAUCACUACACAAUACAAUGACACAUAGGUAAGUCAGCUGCCACAUAUAACUUCCAACUUUGUGCUAAAACUACCUUAAAUGACAUUCUUUUAGAUCUUUUGGAUUCCAAACAUCUUGACACUGCCUUCUCUUUAACAGUAUGUAAGCAUAGAAGAAGACUCAUCAGUUAACUAAGAAUUUAAACUAGAUUAUUGGAAAAAUGACAAAGAACUUAAAUUUAAAGAGAAAAGAACAACAGGCAGCAUGUAG